GAUGAACGCUAGCGGCAGGCUUAAUACAUGCAAGUCAAGGGGGUAGCAAUACAACCGGCGCACGGGUGAGUAACGCGUACACAACAUACCAUAUACUGGGGUAUAGCUUCGGGAAACUGAAGGUAAUCCCCUAUAAUAUUGCGGGAAGGCAUCUUUCUGCAAUUAAAGUUUCGACGGUAUAUGAUUGGUGUGCGUUUGAUUAGCUAGUUGGUAGGGUAACGGCCUACCAAGGCGACGAUCAAUAGCUGGCGUGAGAGCGCGACCAGCCACACUGGAACUGAGACACGGUCCAGACUCCUACGGGAGGCAGCAGUAGGGAAUAUUGGACAAUGGGCGAAAGCCUGAUCCAGCCAUGCCGCGUGAUAGAUGAAGGCCCUCUGGGUUGUAAAUAUCUUUUAUCUGGGAAGAAACUCCUCUAUUCUUAGAGGCCUGACGGUACCAGAGGAAUAAGCACCGGCUAACUCCGUGCCAGCAGCCGCGGU
RNAcentral lists this ribosomal RNA (482 nucleotides) under uncultured bacterium. RNAcentral describes it as "bacterial SSU rRNA". It matches the Rfam family "Bacterial small subunit ribosomal RNA", at positions 28 to 521 of the family's 1533-position model. The record is from RNAcentral.